UGUAUUCGACCUGAGCUCAGGCAAGGCUACCCGCUGUACUU
This 41-nucleotide ribosomal RNA is filed under the name Desmodesmus subspicatus var. simplex. RNAcentral describes it as "partial 26S ribosomal RNA". Lineage: Eukaryota; Viridiplantae; Chlorophyta; Chlorophyceae; Sphaeropleales; Scenedesmaceae. The record is from RNAcentral.